UACAGAGGGUGCAAGCGUUGUUCGGAAUUAUUGGGCGUAAAGCGCGUGUAGGCGGCUCGGUAAGUCCGCUCUGAAAGCCCGGGGCUCAACCCCGGGAGGCGGGUGGAUACUGCUGAGCUCGAGUCCGGAAGAGGAGUGUGGAAUUCCUGGUGUAGCGGUGAAAUGCGCAGAUAUCGAGAGGAACACCUGCGGCGAAGGCGGGUUGCUGGGCUGAUACUGACGCUGAGGCGCGAAAGCCAGGGGAGCGAACGGG
This 253-nucleotide ribosomal RNA is filed under the name uncultured bacterium. RNAcentral's name for it is "partial 16S ribosomal RNA". It matches the Rfam family "Bacterial small subunit ribosomal RNA", at positions 524 to 776 of the family's 1533-position model. The record is from RNAcentral.